This is a long non-coding RNA of Hyaena hyaena (striped hyena), 959 nucleotides long. RefSeq lists it as uncharacterized. The transcript has 2 exons. The record is from RefSeq and is a predicted model, not a curated record. Lineage: Eukaryota; Metazoa; Chordata; Mammalia; Carnivora; Hyaenidae.
CUCCAGCUCCCCCCGCCCCCGCCCGGGCCCCGCCCCCAGGUCAGCUGAGCCACCGGGGCCCGCCCCGCCUCCCGCGGCGGCGCGGGUGGGCGGUGAGCGCAGAGCCCCGGCGGACCGCAGAAGCCGUCCUGGGCUGGCACGUCUGCAGUCUGAGCGCUGCUCCGCGCUUGUUCCCGCCGCUCCGGUGCCUUAACGAGAGGCGAGAACUGUGCGUGGUCAUUGGGACACCCAGUGUCCUGGGCACAGAGUGGCGCGCAAAGCCUCGGGGAGCUCACAGAGACUAGGAUGACAAGACACAGCUAGAGUCUCGCGCUGCUUCAGAGAACUGAAACACCAGAGACCCUCGCCACCUCAUUCCCCUCAAACUUCCCCAGCCCCUCAUUCACGCUGCAGGUGCCUGCCUGGAGGUGGUGACGCUCACCUCCUGCAGCUCCAUAGGUUGGUCUCAGGGCAUACUCCCGCCCUUCAAUGAGGUAAUCUACUUUACAACAGAGAGAUGGCAGCUCUGUGUGGAGUCCUGGACCACAGGUUGGAUACACACCAGCUGUGCACAGGCUUGUAGAAGUGAGUUCUGGUGUAUGACCCUCCAAGACACAGGAAGUUGUGUGUAGGGCAUACAGAAAUGUUGGUUUCCAUGUCAAGAGGGCUGCAAAAAGAUCAUCGCUGGCCAAGGCUGCAAGGUCACAUAUGAAUUGUUUCUUGCCCUGUGGAUAUUCACUGAAUGUCUUCACAUCCACCAGCCAACCACCAGCCCACACCAGGAAUUUCUAGAGAAUCUCUUUUUCCCUGCAUUAUCCUUCCAAUAUCCUCUACUGAGAAAGCUUAACAUUAUUUUCAUUUUAAAGGAGAAAUGCUUAAAGGAACUCAGUUGUUUAUCACAGCAUACCUCAAAGAUAUUAUGGGUUUGGUUCCAGAACACCACAAUAAAGUCAGUAUCUCAAUAAAGCAAGUCAAAUUAA